UGAUGCUGUCGUCCCAGCUGAAACCCACCGGAUAGGUUAGGCAGUCAACAGGAGUGCCUGAUCAAGCUCUCUCUUCAUGGAAGAGCUUUCCACCGGUCACUUCCAGUUCUGCCCUUCCUCCCCAAACUUUCCAGAUCUUGUGCUAAACAAGGGCUUUAGAGCGAAGGUUUCUCUCGGAGGACUUUGACCGGAGUUGUUUUUCAGGAGUUCAAUGAUUUUGCUCCAGCUGUUUUGUUUCUUGCUUUGCUCAACGUGAGAGAUGGGUGGCUAGCCUGUCCCAGCAAGCAGUGCUUUGAAGAACGUUUUUGAGACUACUUGAAAGAAAUAACUGGAGUCUGAGUCAGGAGAGCCCAUUUCACUCCCAGAGUCUGCCUUUAACAAGCUUUAGGAGCACAUGGCAACUUCCCAACAUGAUGUGCAUUCCAGCCCCACAAAAUGAGACCUUGAGGAAUCAACACAGCCCAAAGGAACCCAAGUGUAAUGCCGUGCUGGGAAGAGAAAGAAAAAGGCCGAGCUAAGGAGACUGUAGAGCCGUGUAAACGCCAGGUUACAGGAGUACACCAGUGCCGGUUACUAAUUGUCGCAAGUAUACCACAUUGACGUAAGACACAAAUAACAGAAUAAAUCUGGAGUGGGAGUGGCCACAAGGUUAGGCUACCUCCCUCAUGUUUUUGUUCCUUUAAAGCUGGGUUUUCUUUUAUUUUGUUCUGUUUUCCUUGAGAAUGGGAAUUAUUCUGGUUUAUUUCUGUUGCUGUCAUAAAUUAAAUGCCAUCUCCUAAAAAAUACUUAGGAGGAGGAAGGGUUUAUUCGGCAUACACUUCAAGUCGGAGGCCAUGGGUGAGCCAGUCAGUCAGGAACUCAAGGAGGGGAGGGAAGGGGAGCAGAAAACACCCGGGAAGGCUGCUUAUUGGUUCGCUCACAGUCACGUGCCCCGCUAGCUUUUUCUAUACCGCCCAGGACCCCCAGCCUUGGAAACGGUUCUUCUCAUAUUGGAUGGGGCCCUCCUACAUCAGUUUCCAAUGGAGAUAUGACUUCUAGAUAUUUCCGUAGGCCAAUUCGAUCUGGCAUGCCUCUCAACUGAUGGUCCUUUCUCAGGUGAUUCUUUCUAUCUUGUUUCAAGUGGAUGAUUAAUAUAUAAAUUUAACUAGCAUUGACGUUUUCUCUGUUGCCUUGAUUCAAAGUUUCAAAAUCCACAGAUGUUACAAUGGUACCUUCUUUGGAGGAUAAUCAAAGUUCCCAAAUAGGUAUGGGCUGUGGUGAAAACACUAUUAAGAUCUCUGUCUGUCUGCCACCCGUAUCCCGUAUCCCUUGAACCUCUACGGCCUGUACUUCUGCAGCUGUUUUGGUCAUAGAGCUGAAGAAAACAUGGCACCUGACCUCCUAUGUUAUCCAGAUCACCUUUUCUCCAGCCAUGGCGCAGGAUGGGCAUUUUGGUCCUAUCAGUGAGACGGCCACUGGGAUUCCCCAACUCAUCUUGGAUCCUUAUCCAGUCUGAGACACACAGGAAGCAGCACACCUGAAACACAGCAAACACUCUCCUUGGCUCAGGAACUGGAGGCUUCAUUUCACGAUUCGUUGGUCAUUGUUGCUUCGGAUGAGGGUGUGGAUAAUCGUAUGGACACGUGGCAGAACAAACCUCUUCAUCUCAUGGCCAGGAAGGGAGAUGGAAGGGAAAGGGCUGGGUUUCCCACUAUCUCCUUGGAGGACACCCAUACAGUGGCCUAAAUGGAUACGUCCCAUUAAGCCCCUCCCCUCUUGAUGAUUCUACUACUUCUCAACAAGACCACCCUGGAGGCCAGGCCUUGAACACAUGAACCUUUUUAGAGGAUCCAAAGUAUACGGUAUUAUUCAACAUGAACAAUUGCAGUUUUCUAUCAAGUUCCGAUUCGUGCUAUGCACUGUUCCCUUGGUAGCUCUGACUACCAGCAAGCAAGGAAAUGGUGAAAUUAGACAGCAGGGACUAUUGUCACGGUGACUCUGGCCUCUGACAUAAAGUGAUCUUUAGUGUGCCCCUGCCUGAGAACCUUCUUGGUACAGUGGUGUUUCUAUCUUGCAAGUCAGUCAUCAAAAUUAUCUAUAGAUGUUUGUCAAGAUUCAAGUUCCCAGUGCCUACAACUUUGAAAAAAUUUAUUGAGUCUGACUGGGGACUUUUAUUCUGAUACUUUAUGAGAACUCCUCAAAAUGACCGACCUGGAUAAUCCUCUGCUUAGACUUCUUGAGUUUGAGCCCUGAUUUUCCCUCUUGCUAGCUGUGUGAUCGAGGUGGGGGAAAUGAUACUUAAUAUCUCUGUAUCUCCAUUUUUUUCCAAAGGUGACAUCAUAAUAUGACUAUGGUUUAUUAAAACUAAAUAUGUACAGAUCUUUCAUAUUAAUCCAGUUAUGUAUUUAAAUAGUGCCUGGCUUCAUUAGGGCCUGCAUGUGAUUAACAUCCUAUGAUAUCAGCUGGUG
Molecule: long non-coding RNA, 2447 nt
Organism: Alexandromys fortis (reed vole)
Lineage: Eukaryota; Metazoa; Chordata; Mammalia; Rodentia; Cricetidae
Exons: 3
Source: RefSeq, a predicted model, not a curated record